CUCAGCUGAAUUUGUUUACAUAAGUUGAAGGGAUCAAGCAUGGUUUUUAUAGCUGAUUUAUAUUAUGAAUUUCUUUUAAGAGUACGGUAUUUAGUACCCCCUAAAUAGAGAGAACUGUAUACGGGUUAAACACAAUAAAAAAGCCGCCAGAAUAUUAAUACAUAUUUUAAAAGUUAAUAUACAUAGGUGAAGUAGUUUUAAUAGUACCUACCUAAAUUCUUCUUAUACUGAAUACUUCUUUAAUAAGCCAUGCCAAUCCGUGAUCAUAUGAGAAACAUUGAUGAGUCAGUCAAAUGUAAAAAAGAAGUCAAGAUAUUUAGGAAGUGCCAAGAAAAGCAUCCAGUAAGUAGAUUCAUUGGAAGAUGUGAGAGACAAUUUAUGAAAGUGUAUCACUGUCUAAAGGAAGAAGUUCGAGAACAGGAGAUGCUUGCUAAAGAGCAAGAAACCAGCAACAAGAAUAGUUAAAGAAUGUAGUAUUUUUUGUGUAAAUAAAAUUUUAAUAACUUUUUUA
Molecule: long non-coding RNA, 511 nt
Organism: Anthonomus grandis grandis
Lineage: Eukaryota; Metazoa; Arthropoda; Insecta; Coleoptera; Curculionidae
Exons: 3
Source: RefSeq, a predicted model, not a curated record